UUUUUAUCGCUUGUCCGGUGCUCGUUGUGGUCGCGCGUUCGGUGCUAGCGCCGACGCAACCGAGGGAUCGUGUGCUUUCGCGGCGGCGUCACGAGAACCCGGGCCAAAAAGGACAGGCCCAAAGAAAAAAGAGGGAGGGCGCCGACGUCACGCCCUCGGCGGGUUUCUCGCAGCCUCAUCUUUUCCUUUUGUUUCUUUUCUUCUUGCCAGACAAAGAGAAAAGGUCGCGGGGCAGGCGGGCUCGGCUCACCCUGGCGAGAAGAGGAAAAAGAGGCGGCAGAUCACAAACAGCUUGCGGCAGUAUGCGCGAUGGGCGCCGGCCACACAAGGAGCGAAAGGAGCACCCCCAAGACAAGAAAAGGUCUUGAAAAAGAGAGGGCCUUGGCGGCAUCGCGGCACUUUGCAACAAGACCACCGGGGGAAAAGAGGCGUCCAAAGAAAAAAAGAAGACCAAAGAAAAGGUGACGCCGCCACCGUGUGCGUCUCCGGACGGCCAGCGGCCCGCCCCUUUUCUUUAUGCCCUGUUGUUUGUCGCCUUUCUUUUGCAAUUCUUUUUCCCCUCAUUUCCGUUCCCGAGUACAGAAACACAAAAGGCGAAUAGGAAAAAAGUAAAGAGGCGGAGAAAACAACGCCAGGGGAAUAGGCAGAGGAAGAAAAGAGGAACUAGGGUGGGCAACUGGCAGACACGCCGAGGGCCGUUUCGCAGAGGGCGUCGUCGGCAACGGCGUGACACGCAUCCAAGAGUGCUGAUGGGGCGGUCGCUGCCCCUGCUUCGCAUUGACACAGGGCGAGUGCGCGUGCCACAAACCCGGCCACGCGGUCUCCGACAUGGACCAGCGCCGCGUCGAGCGAUCCCAUGUUGGGCGGCAACGUCGCCGCCUGCAUAAAGAGGCACGCCGUGCCGGCGUUUGACACCCAUUCAGGCACCGUCCAUACGUUGUUGUCGUCGAGAAACCUUUUAAACGCCUUUGGAUCACGCGCAAUGUUGUUGGCGCCGCUCGCCACGUAGGCGCGAGGCACGACGCCUUGGGUGCCAUUUUCAUGGUGAUGGCGGCGACGCCGCGCAACCGCGGCGGCCAAGGCCUCGGUGGUGCUCGGGCUCAUCACGUAGCGCUGGGCGCACGGGGCAAACACAUCCACACCUCCACUGCACGCGUCGAGAAAGCGCGCCAGCCACGCAUCGCCAUCCUCGUCGGUGCCUCGUGCGGUCAACGCCACAUACUCGUCAUUGUGCGCCCCGUCGCCAAAGCAAUCUGCCAAUUGUGCGCUGCCCGUUGGCGCAUGCUGCUGGCGCCGUGCCACGAGCGCAUGGACAUCGACGCCGUCGGCGCGCACGACGAAAUGAUCGCGAUCGGCGAUGGCCACGAUGCGAGCCCCGAGCGUACGGGCAUAUAGAGCAAACGUGCUGCCCACCGUGCCAAAGCCUUGCACGGCGACGUCGAGACCACGGAGAGGCGCACCCGAGCCGCCGCCUUUUUCGUUGCCUUUGGCGUGAGCCAGCGCUGCGAGCGCGCGCGCCACGCCAUAGCCGACUGCAGCUUCGGCGAUCGCGAGACGGGGCGAGCGCGCAGACGCCACAUCCCCCUCGGUCGGGUGCACGGCGACGACGGACCCAUGUAGGAGCAUUUCGGGACGCGCCUCGGGGUGUCUUUGGGCGAGCGCAUGCAGGCAAUGGGGUAUGCCGACAUGCCUCUGUGCCAAGGCGUCGAGCACGGCAUGGUCCGUAUUGAGAUCGGCCCCCGUGGCCCAGGCGUCGCGGAUGACGGCAGCGUGGGCGGCCAUGAAUCGACCCACGACAUCGUUCACGUCGGGCGCCGACGGAUCGUAACGUACGCCGCCCUUGGCGCCGCGCACGGUACCGGCCGCGCACGUGACACGCAAUUUGCGCGCCAUGCUCCGCGCCACGUCGACCACCUCGGCCUCGGUGGUCGCCGGCGAAACAAAGAGACCGCCUCCGCCGACGGGAGGCAGGCGCGGGUCGUCUUCGAUGGCGAUCCAUCCGACAGCGGGUGUCAGCGCGUCGCGCCACUCGUAGACGGCCACCGGCGGUUGGCCGGGGACGGCGGAUGGGCGCGCACCCGGCGGCAGGCUCUUGUCCACCGCGCCGGUGGCCGGUGCCGCGUGUGCGACAAUAGUGGUCAUUUUUUUCUUACCCCUGCGAAACUCCCUGUGUAUUUGUGAUUGCGACUCGAUCGGCUCCGUUGUGGACGCGGUCGUGCUGGUGGCCAGGUUCUUUUUUUAGACUGCUCCAAAGACGGAACCUGUCGCUCGGGAGCGUCGGCGCGCGCCGCUUUUAGCGCGCUUUUUUUGGACGCACCGCACGGUCAGAGAUCGUCGCGUUUUAGGGAAAAAAACACAGACAUUGCGCGUUGCGGCGUGGCGCACAGCGCGCUCACGACGGACAGACAGGCACAGCCGAUGGCGCUCAUUUCCAUUUUUUGGGCUGAGUGGACGCACAUCCUGCAUCGCGGGGAAUGCGCUCUUUUCCCGUGCCUCGCGGGUCGCGCAUACGCACGCGAUGCUUGCACAUAUCUUUUGCCGUGUUUCGGCUGGCCCUUUGAGGCUGCUGCUCUCUUUUUUUUGUAAAAGAGACAAAGCCGUCGUGGCGGUGCCGCGGCGCGCGCAUAGGCAAGAC
This 2635-nucleotide long non-coding RNA is filed under the name Pandoravirus neocaledonia. Its description in RNAcentral is "hypothetical ncRNA". The record is from RNAcentral.